Molecule: long non-coding RNA, 889 nt
Organism: Schistocerca serialis cubense
Lineage: Eukaryota; Metazoa; Arthropoda; Insecta; Orthoptera; Acrididae
Exons: 5
Source: RefSeq, a predicted model, not a curated record
CUGCGCCCCACUGGUGACGGCCCAGUUCAAUAGCAGCUUUAAGAUUAGCGACUUCUAUAGCAGCGUCAACGUUAGGCACUUUGAUAGCAGUUCAGGGCAGACUUUUGUCAGCGAACGGAGUAGGCAGGAUUCCUAGACACAACAAGAUUGAUGCCGAGGAUGGACGAAUUAGAUUGACGACGAGGUGAACGAAUACCAUAUCGACAAUCUGUAAACCAGCUGCCACAGAUUUGUUUUGUCGUGACCUUUCCUAUUUUGCUGGCACCUUAAUUCUACCUUGUCUUUUCUUUGCAAGGUUUCAGACGCAGCAGACUGCAACCCUCCUAAACACAGUACAGCAGUUACUAAGAAAUCAAGCAACGAACGCUGGACAACAUGCAACAACUGUAGGUCCGAUUACCAUACCGCCUUUUCCUCAGUUUAAUGAACAAGAGGAAUGCCUCGAGUAGUUGCAACAGUAUGAAGGCCACAUCAUUCCUCACAAAGUAUCAGGUAAAGAGAGAAUCCGCAAAGCAGAUAUUGCUAAUUUAAAAUGCACAAAAGAAGCUAGACAGAAAAGAAGAGGGACCAAGGGAAGAAAAGAAGAUCAGUAUGACUCAGAUGAUGCUGGAAAAUAUUUGUGGAAAGGAAAUGCCGAGCCAUGGAACAAUACCAAAAUACUGGGCUAUUCUUCACAAAACGACCAACAGCAUGCUACAGUCAUCGAAUACGUCUCGUGGCGAGAAGAGGCUGUUCGAGAGGGCUGCACUCGCCAAAGGGAUGGAUGCGGUGACCAGGAGGGUGCCGUUUAGGCCACUGAGGAUGGCCGGUAUUCAGAAGGCUGCCGCCGACCACCCCACUGCCACCGGAUGCUUCCAGCAGCCUCCCAUAACCCGAGCACUCCCAAAUU